CCUACGGGUGGCAGCAGUGAGGAAUAUUGGUCAAUGGGCGCGAGCCUGAACCAGCCAAGUCGCGUGAGGGAAGACGGCCCUACGGGUUGUAAACCUCUUUUGCCGGGGAGCAACGGGCGCCACGUAUGGCGCCACUGAGAGUACCCGGAGAAAAAGCAUCGGCUAACUCCGUGCCAGCAGCCGCGGUAAUAGGGAGGAUGAGAGCGGUAUCCGGAUUGAUUGGGUUAAAGGGGUGCGUAGGCGGAGCGUUAAGUCAGUGGGAAAAUUGCGGGGUUAAACCACUACCCGCAAUUGAAACUGGCGCUCUUGAGUGGAAGAGAAGUAUGCGGAAUGCGAGGUGUAGCGGUGAAAUGCAUAGAGAUCACGCAGAACCCCGAUUGCGAAGGCAGCAUGCCGGCUUCAUACUGACGCUGAAGCACGAAAGCGUGGGGAGCGAACAGGAUUAGAUACCCUGGUAGUC
RNAcentral lists this ribosomal RNA (460 nucleotides) under uncultured bacterium. RNAcentral describes it as "partial 16S ribosomal RNA". It matches the Rfam family "Bacterial small subunit ribosomal RNA", at positions 338 to 795 of the family's 1533-position model. The record is from RNAcentral.